UAGGUAACAGCCACGCUUGGU
RNAcentral lists this non-coding RNA (21 nucleotides) under Arabidopsis thaliana (thale cress). The record is from RNAcentral. Lineage: Eukaryota; Viridiplantae; Streptophyta; Magnoliopsida; Brassicales; Brassicaceae.